This 468-nucleotide ribosomal RNA is filed under the name uncultured bacterium. RNAcentral's name for it is "partial 16S ribosomal RNA". It matches the Rfam family "Bacterial small subunit ribosomal RNA", at positions 28 to 507 of the family's 1533-position model. The record is from RNAcentral.
GACGAACGCUGGCGGCGUGCUUAACACAUGCAAGUCGAACGGAAAGGCCCUGCUUUUGUGGGGUGCUCGAGUGGCGAACGGGUGAGUAACACGUGAGUAACCUGCCCUUGACUUUGGGAUAACUUCAGGAAACUGGGGCUAAUACCGGAUAGGAGCUCCUGCUGCAUGGUGGGGGUUGGAAAGUUUCGGCGGUUGGGGAUGGACUCGCGGCUUAUCAGCUUGUUGGUGGGGUAGUGGCUUACCAAGGCUUUGACGGGUAGCCGGCCUGAGAGGGUGACCGGCCACAUUGGGACUGAGAGACGGCCCAGACUCCUACGGGAGGCAGCAGUGGAGAAUAUUGCACAAUGGGCGGAAGCCUGAUGCAGCAACGCCGCGUGCGGGAUGACGGCCUUCGGGUUGUAAACCGCUUUCGCCUGUGACGAAGCGUGAGUGACGGUAAUGGGUAAAGAAGCACCGGCUAACUACGUG